AUUGAACGCUGGCGGAAUGCUUUACACAUGCAAGUCGAACGGUAGAGGGGGCAACCCCUCGAGAGUGGCGAACGGGUGAGUAAUAUAUCGGAACGUGCCCAGUCGUGGGGGAUAACGUAGCGAAAGUUACGCUAAUACCGCAUACGAUCUACGGAUGAAAGCGGGGGAUCGCAAGACCUCGCGCGAUUGGAGCGGCCGAUAUCAGAUUAGGUAGUUGGUGGGGUAAAGGCUCACCAAGCCAACGAUCUGUAGCUGGUCUGAGAGGACGACCAGCCACACUGGAACUGAGACACGGUCCAGACUCCUACGGGGGGCAGCAGUGGGGAAUUUUGGACAAUGGACGCAAGUCUGAUCCAGCCAUUCCGCGUGCAGGAUGAAGGCCCUCGGGUUGUAAACUGCUUUUGUACGGAACGAAAAGGUCUCUCUUAAUACGGGGGGCUCAUGACGGUACCGUAAGAAUAAGCACCGGCUAACUACGUG
This 480-nucleotide ribosomal RNA is filed under the name uncultured bacterium. RNAcentral describes it as "bacterial SSU rRNA". It matches the Rfam family "Bacterial small subunit ribosomal RNA", at positions 30 to 507 of the family's 1533-position model. The record is from RNAcentral.